This 497-nucleotide ribosomal RNA is filed under the name uncultured bacterium. RNAcentral describes it as "partial 16S ribosomal RNA". It matches the Rfam family "Bacterial small subunit ribosomal RNA", at positions 28 to 507 of the family's 1533-position model. The record is from RNAcentral.
GAUGAACGCUGGCGGCGUGCCUAAUACAUGCAAGUCGAGCGAACAGACGAGGAGCUUGCUCCUCUGACGUUAGCGGCGGACGGGUGAGUAACACGUGGAUAACCUACCUAUAAGACUGGGAUAACUUCGGGAAACCGGAGCUAAUACCGGAUAAUAUAUUGAACCGCAUGGUUCAAUAGUGAAAGACGGUUUUGCUGUCACUUAUAGAUGGAUCCGCGCCGCAUUAGCUAGUUGGUAAGGUAACGGCUUACCAAGGCAACGAUGCGUAGCCGACCUGAGAGGGUGGUCGGCCAGACGGGAACUGAGACACGGUCCAGACUCCGACGGGAGGAAGCAGUAGGGAAUCUUACGCGAUGGGCGAAAGCCUGACGGAGCAACGCCGCGUGAGUGAUGAAGGACUUCGGAUCGUAAAGCGCUGUUAUUAGGGAAGAACAAAUGUGUAAGUAACUAUGCACGUCUUGACGGUACCUAAUCAGAAAGCCACGGCUAACUACGUG